CGGGUGAGUAACACGUGAGUGACCUGCCUUUUAGACUGGAACAACUUACCGAAAGGUGAGCUAAUGCCGGAUGAGUUAUAUAAGUGCAUGUUUAUAUAGGAAAAAGUUGGGGAGACCUGACGCUGAAAGAUGGACUCGCGUCCCAUUAGCUAGUUGGUAGGGUAAUGGCCUACCAAGGCGACGAUGGGUAGCCGGCCUGAGAGGGUGGCCGGCCACACUGGGACUGAGACACGGCCCAGACUCCUACGGAAGGCAGCAG
Molecule: ribosomal RNA, 259 nt
Filed under: uncultured bacterium
Lineage: Bacteria
Description: partial 16S ribosomal RNA
Rfam family: Bacterial small subunit ribosomal RNA
Source: RNAcentral